GCUGGGCGUGGUGGCGGGCGCCUGUAAUCCCAGCUACUCAGGAGGCUGAGGCAGGAGAAUUGCUUGAACCCGGGAGGCAGAGGUUGCAGUGAGCCAAGAUCUCGCCACUGCACUCCAGCCUGGGCGACAGAGCGAGACUCUGUCUCGA
RNAcentral lists this non-coding RNA (148 nucleotides) under Gorilla gorilla gorilla (western lowland gorilla). Lineage: Eukaryota; Metazoa; Chordata; Mammalia; Primates; Hominidae. The record is from Rfam by way of RNAcentral.